CGCUGGCGGCACGCCUUAUACAUGCAAGUCGAACGCAGUAGCAAUACUGAGUGGCAAACGGGUGAGUAUAAUGUGGGUAUCUGCCUUUUGGUUCGGAAUAACAUGAGGAAACUUGUGCUAAUACCGGAUAAGCCUUCACAGGGAAAGUUUUAUACGCCGAAAGAUGAGCCCGCACUUGAUUAGUUUGUUGGUGAGGUAAUGGCUCACCAAGACAAUUAUCAAUAGCUGGUCUGAGAGGACGAUCAGCCACAUUGGGACUGAGACACGGCCCAGACUCCUACGGGAGGCAGCAGUAAGGAAUCUUGCACAAUGGGGGAAACCCUGAUGCAGCGAUGCCGCGUGAGUGAAGAAGGCCCUUGGGUUGUAAAACUCUUUCGUCGGGGAAGAAAAUGACUGUACCCGAAUAAGAAGGUCCGGCUAACUUCGUGCCAGCAGCCGCGGUAAUACGAAGGGACCUAGCGUAGUUCGGAAUUACUGGGCUUAAAGAGCUCGUAGGUGGUUAAAAAAGUUGAUGGUGAAAUCCCAAGGCUCAACCUUGGAACUGCCAUCAAAACUUUUUAGCUAGAGUGUGAUAGAGGAAAGUGGAAUUUCUAGUGUAGAGGUGAAAUUCGUAGAUAUUAGAAAGAACACCAAAUGCGAAGGCAACUUUCUGGGUCACUACUGACACUGAGGAGCGAAAGCAUGGGUAGCGAAGAGGAUUAGAUACCCUCGUAGUCCAUGCCGUAAACGAUGUGUGCUAGACGUUGGAAAUAUAUUUUUCAGUGUCGCAGCGAAAGCAUUAAGCACACCGCCUGGG
Molecule: ribosomal RNA, 796 nt
Filed under: uncultured Pelagibacteraceae bacterium
Lineage: Bacteria; Pseudomonadati; Pseudomonadota; Alphaproteobacteria; Candidatus Pelagibacterales; Candidatus Pelagibacteraceae
Description: bacterial SSU rRNA
Rfam family: Bacterial small subunit ribosomal RNA
Source: RNAcentral